This 673-nucleotide long non-coding RNA is filed under the name Capsella grandiflora. RNAcentral's name for it is "long non-coding RNA (CGRA_LNC001673)". Lineage: Eukaryota; Viridiplantae; Streptophyta; Magnoliopsida; Brassicales; Brassicaceae. The record is from RNAcentral.
GUUACUUGUGGACAAUUAAAUGUAAGUAGACGCUCUAAACUCUAAAGAGACCAAAAGGUGAAGUGUACUUAAUAUUUUCAAGAAUCGAAGACAAGAGCAUGUGAGUGUGGAUGAACUUCCCUAAGUUAAUCCCUAAAAGGCUUAAAACCCUUAAAACCCUCCCAAAGAUGACGACCACACUUCAAUCUUCUCAUUUAAUAUCAAAGAGACCAAAGCAUGUGAAUCUUCAUUUUUGUCGUCCUUUCUUGACCUUUCCUCAACUACUAACUAACUCUUCUUUUACUCCCUUUCUGCAUCCCUCUAUCAUCCUCUCCUUUCUUUCUUUUUUUGCAUGAUGGAUCAAUCACAAAAUAAUAAAAACUCGCUGAAAUAAUAUUGGAGUUAGUAGUUAUAUUGUUUAUUUCAAUUUUGUGCAAUAUUACCGGUCAUAAUAUAUAUAUAUAUAACCAAACAACCAACCUUCUGUACUGGAAUUGAAAAUCAUAUUUGUCUUUUCCUACUGACACAUGUAUGAAGUGAUCAACAAACACCCUGAAAACUGACUAAGAAAACUAAAAUCAUUCCUUCACUCACACUAAACAUAUAUAUAAGCAAAGUCUACAUAACACCUUUUUAAGCUUCCUUUUCUACCUUUGAGAACUCUAUUGCCAUGUUACUUCCCUGGAAAUCNNNN